RNAcentral lists this long non-coding RNA (374 nucleotides) under Homo sapiens (human). The record is from RNAcentral. Lineage: Eukaryota; Metazoa; Chordata; Mammalia; Primates; Hominidae.
AAUGAGUCUCAUGAAAUCUGAUGGUUUUAAAAACAGGAGUUUCCCUGAACAAGCUCUCUUUGCCUGCUGCCAUCCAUGUAAGACGUGACUUAUUCCUCCUUGCCUUCCGCCAUGAUUGUGAGGCCUCCCCAGCCAUUCAGAACUGUGAGGGUUCCAGACUCCAGAGUCUCCCUUUACCUAGUUCUUGGGAGUCUAGUGCAGCUGAAGACGAGGUACUGCGGAUGAAGAGGAAGACGAGGUACUGCGGAUGAAGAGAAACCCAGAUGAUCCAGGCACAUUUUAUAGACAAGGCCUCAACGACCCCAAAGGAACCUUUGAAAUCACCCUUUUCCUGGGUUCACGACGACUUGUAAACGAUACCAUCCAUCCCUGCU